Molecule: ribosomal RNA, 433 nt
Filed under: uncultured bacterium
Lineage: Bacteria
Description: partial 16S ribosomal RNA
Rfam family: Bacterial small subunit ribosomal RNA
Source: RNAcentral
AACGAACGCUGGCGGCAUGCCUAACACAUGCAAGUCGAACGAGACCUUCGGGUCUAGUGGCGCACGGGUGCGUAACGCGUGGGAAGCUGCCCUUAGGUUCGGAAUAACUCCCCGAAAGGGGUGCUAAUACCGGUUAAUGUCUUCGGACCAAAGAUUUAUUGCUUUUGGAUGGGCGCGCGUAGGAUUAGCUAGUUGGUAGGGUAAAAGCCUACCAAGGAGACGAUCCAUAGCUGGUCUGUGAGGAUGCUUAGCCACACUGGGACUGAGACACGGCCCCGACUCCUACGCGACGCAGCAGUGUAGAAUAUUGGGCGAUGGGCGAUAGCCUGAUCCAGCAAUGCCGCGUGAGUGAUGAAGGCCUUAGGGUUGUAAAGCUCUUUUAGCCGGGAUGAUAAUGACAGUACCGGGAGAAUAAGCUCCGGCUAACUCCGUG